GAAAAAUAAAAGUUCCCUCUCCUCUCACGCAGGCCCAGAAUCCGGCCAAACUCCGGCGAGUGGCCACUGCGCCGGCCACCGGUCGCCGGCACCGGCACCGCCGUGUACGGCGGUGGGGAGUCAAAAAGCCACUUUUUUUAAAACCCGUUUUAAAUCCCCUUCGAAAGCCGAACACCUUUGGCCCAAAAAAGACGACUCUUGGCCCCCCUUUUUCCUCUCGGAUCCGACGGCCACGAAGGAGGAGAGCCCUCCGACGGCGAACCCGCAAGGCGUUUCAGGUGUGCCCCCGCUCCCCUCUACUACUAUUUCUGUUAAGAAAAAAGAAAAUAAAUAUAUAUAUAUAUAAGGGAAAAAAAAUCCGAUUCACCUUCAAAAGGAAAAAAAAACUUUGUAUUCAGUGUUUCUUUCAACUUUUUCCUGUUUCUCUCCGUUAUCAGUGUCUCCUCCCUAUUUUCAGUGUCUUUUACAAUCCAAAUUCCCCCCCGUUACAUGAUUUAAAUCGGCCUUUAAAUAGCCGAAAAAGGACAAUAAAAUAAGCAAAAAAAAAUCUUCUCUUCAAUAUUCGUUGCGUUUUUUACUGUUACUCUGUUAUUGCUGCGUUGUACGUCCCUUUUUUUCGCAGGUUCGGUGGCCGUGGAGUGCGCCCGUACGUGGAGGCGCAACUCGCGCGAAUGGCGGCUACUGUUGCGGAGGGGGUAGUGUGCAGGCUCGUGGCGCACAAAGAGGGGUGCACGGUAGUUGCGGCGGCUGGUGGUUUCUUGCUUAGGGUUUCUGCUGCAAUUUAGUUAGUGGGCUGUUAGGGUUUGGGCCUAGGUUUAGUUUAUUUUUGUUUUGUAAUGGUCUGGGCCAAUUGGGCCUUAUUACAUUUAUGAUUAAUCGUUAAUUAAAAAUUUAAUAUUUGAAUGAAUAAAAUAAA
RNAcentral lists this long non-coding RNA (916 nucleotides) under Gossypium raimondii (Peruvian cotton). RNAcentral's name for it is "long non-coding RNA (GRAI_LNC009068)". The record is from RNAcentral. Lineage: Eukaryota; Viridiplantae; Streptophyta; Magnoliopsida; Malvales; Malvaceae.